GUCGGGAAUUUUGGGCAAUGGGCGAAAGCCUGACCCAGCAACGCCGCGUGAAGGAUGAAGUAUUUCGGUAUGUAAACUUCGUAAGAAUAGGAAGAAUAAAUGACGGUACUAUUUGUAAGGUCCGGCUAACUACGUGCCAGCAGCCGCGGUAAUACGUAGGGACCAAGCGUUGUUCGGAUUUACUGGGCGUAAAGGGCGCGUAGGCGGCGUGGUAAGUCAGCUGUGAAAUCUCCGAGCUUAACUCGGAACGGUCAGCUGAUACUGCUGUGCUAGAGUACAGAAAGGGCAAUCGGAAUUCUUGGUGUAGCGGUGAAAUGCGUAGAUAUCAAGAGGAACACCUGAGGCGAAGGCGGGUUGUUAGGCUGAUACUGACGCUGAGGCGCGAAAGCUAGGGUAGCAAACGGGAUUAGAUACCCGGGUAGUCC
Molecule: ribosomal RNA, 425 nt
Filed under: uncultured bacterium
Lineage: Bacteria
Description: partial 16S ribosomal RNA
Rfam family: Bacterial small subunit ribosomal RNA
Source: RNAcentral